RNAcentral lists this microRNA precursor (191 nucleotides) under Oryza glumipatula. RNAcentral describes it as "MIR812 microRNA precursor family". It matches the Rfam family "MIR812 microRNA precursor family". The record is from Rfam by way of RNAcentral. Lineage: Eukaryota; Viridiplantae; Streptophyta; Magnoliopsida; Poales; Poaceae.
AAUAAGUAUAGUUUUGUAGUACUGUCCUUACCCAACGUUUGACCGUUCGUCUUAUUUGAUUUUUUAAUUAUUUUUAUUUAUUAGAUGAUAAAACAUGAAUAUUACUUUAUAUGUGACUAAUUAUUUUAUAAAAUUUUUAAAUAAUACGAACGGUUAAAUGUUAGAAACGGAUAUCCACGGCUACACUUAUU